Molecule: ribosomal RNA, 239 nt
Filed under: uncultured bacterium
Lineage: Bacteria
Description: partial 16S ribosomal RNA
Rfam family: Bacterial small subunit ribosomal RNA
Source: RNAcentral
CGUUGGUCGGAAAUACUGGGCGUAAAGCGCACGUAGGCGGCACUGCAAGUCAGGGGUGAAAUCCCGAGGCUCAACCUCGGAACUGCAGUCGAUACUGCUGUGGCUAGAGUCUGGUAGAGGAGAGUGGAAUUCCCGGUGUAGCGGUGAAAUGCGCAGAUAUCGGGAGGAACACCAGUAGCGAAGGCGGCUCUCUGGGCCAGUACUGACGCUGAGGAGCGAAAGCGUGGGGAGCAAACAGG